Non-coding RNA from Electrophorus electricus (electric eel), 398 nucleotides. Lineage: Eukaryota; Metazoa; Chordata; Actinopteri; Gymnotiformes; Gymnotidae. The record is from RefSeq and is a predicted model, not a curated record.
GUCUACCCUGUUAACUGCCGGGCGGUCCGUGGUUCCCAAAGUUUCCUGGUUAUCGCUCUGUCCUACCCCGUCCAGAUUACCCACGUUACCUUGGAACACAUCCCUCGUAACGUGUCACCCACUGGACACAUAAACAGCACUCCAAAGGACUUCACCGUUCAUAGCUGCUCCUGUUUAAGGGGUUCCAGGGUGUAAUGUGACACAGCCUAAUUCUUAUACACUCCUGCACUUCCCUUGAACUGACACAUGAAAACGAGGAAGGAAAACCUCUUGGAACAUUUACCUAUGACCAAGAUGGAGAAACCAUCCAGAUCUACCAACUUCCUGAGUCUCCCAGUGAGGUGUACUGCCUGGUGGAACUACCGGUCCACAGUAACUGGGGUCACCCAGAGUACACC